UGGAUAGGAUGUUUUUUAGAAACAAAUUGUGCUUUGCGGCAAAGGAAAGCAAGAGUGAGAGUGUGCGUGUGUGAGUGAGGACUAAAGACUGAGGAGUCUCUGAUUCAUUGAUGGCGGAAGAAGCAGUUCUGGGAUACCUUGAGAAAAACUCGGAGAUUCGAGACUCGGGCGAGUUCGCAGCUGAACUCGGCAUUGACCACAACGAGAUCGUGAACGUGAUUAAGAGCUUGCACGGUUUCGGAUACGUUGACGCGCAAGACAUCAAGAGGGAAACAUGGGUACUCACUGAUGAGGGCAAAACCUAUUCCAGCGUAGGAUCCCCUGAAGUGCAACUCUUCUUCGCCAUACCCCCAGAGGAGGGUAUCUCCAAACAAGACCUUCAGAAAAAGGUUGAACCUUCUGUCUUCAAGAUAGGUUGUGCUCAGGCUGCGAAGACAAAAUGGGUGGAGAUGGGAAACAGUUAAUUACUAGAAAGGUAGCUGUUAGAAGACAACGCAAGUAUAGUUGCAUUUUUUCUGUGUGUAUUGCAUUGUCCAACAUGUUGAUGAUAAGGUCAAAGAUCUUCUUCUUCAAAUACAACAGGGGCUGCUUCUGGAACUUCGAUGCCUUGUUCCAGCCCCAACAACACCCAGCUCGUGAUUCACAUGAUACAUUUUUUCUGGAAGCUCCUUCAACAACUAAGAUAUUGCCAGAAGAUUAUGUUCUGAGAGUUACGCAAGUUCAUGAAUCUGGUGGUUAUGGGUCUAGAGGAUAUGCAUAUGACUGGAAGAGAGAGGAAGCAAAUAAAAACCUCCUGCGAACCCAUACAACUUCUGUUUCCUCCAGGAUGCUUUACCAACUGGCACAGAAACCAUUUGCCCCAAAAAAAUAUUUCUCUAUAGAUCGGGUAUUCAGAAAUGAAGCAGUUGAUCGGACACAUCUUGCUGAGUUCCACCAGAUAGAAGGUCUUGUAUGCGAUCGUGGACUCACUCUCUGUGAUUUAAUAGGUGUUCUACACGAUUUCUUCUCACGCUUAGGCAUGACCAAGCUGAAGUUCAAACCAGCUUACAAUCCAUACACUGAACCUAGCAUGGAGAUUUUUAGUUACCAUGAAGGUUUUAAAAAAUGGGUAGAGGUAGGAAACUCUGGCAUGUUCAGACCUGAAAUGUUGCAGCCAAUGGGACUUCCUGAAGAUGUCCAAGUUAUUGCGUGGGGCCUUUCCCUUGAGAGGCCAACGAUGAUACUGUAUGGGAUAGAUAGCAUCAGAGAUCUCUUUGGACACAAGGUAGAUCUUGGGCUUAUAAAGAAAAAUCCAAUGUGUCGUCUUGGAAUUGACUAAAAUGAUUCACACUUGUGUCUUGUAUUUUAUCAUUUAUAAAUAAAUUAUAAUUUCUUUUGCCUCUUAAGAUCAAACACUAUCUGUAGUUUAUUAGUUCAAUUUUCUAUAUGAAGAAUUACGGGAGAAAAAGUUACGCCCUUGUGAUUAUUUUUCUUAUGUUCUGAAAAAUUUGACGGGAAAGUUAGCAAAUUUCAAUUUCUUGUGGUUU
Glycine soja is the source of this 1526-nucleotide RNA transcript. It is a transcript of the gene named phenylalanine--tRNA ligase alpha subunit, cytoplasmic-like, with no coding region annotated. The transcript is spliced from 13 exons. Lineage: Eukaryota; Viridiplantae; Streptophyta; Magnoliopsida; Fabales; Fabaceae. The record is from RefSeq and is a predicted model, not a curated record.